Molecule: ribosomal RNA, 465 nt
Filed under: uncultured ciliate
Lineage: Eukaryota; Ciliophora
Description: SSU rRNA
Rfam family: Eukaryotic small subunit ribosomal RNA
Source: RNAcentral
AUUUGUCUGGUUAAUUCCGAUAACGAACGAGACCUUAACCUGCUAACUAGAUUCUUUUAUUUUAUAACUGAUAUCUUCUUAGAGGGACUAUGUAAUUUAAAUACAUGGAAGUUUGAGGCAAUAACAGGUCAGUGAUGCCCUUAUAUGUCCUGGGCUGCACGCGUGCUACACUGAUGCAUACAACAAGUGCCUAGCCAGACAUGGUAUGGCAAUCUCGAAUAUGCAUCGUGAUGGGGAUAGAUCUUUGCAAUUAUAGAUCUUGAACGAGGAAUUCCUAGUAAGUGCAAGUCAUCAUCUUGCAUUGAUUAUGUCCCUGCCCUUUGUACACACCGCCCGUCGCUCCUACCGAUACCGGGUGAUCCGGUGAACCUUUUGGACUCAUUUGGGAAAGAUAAGUAAACCAUAUCACCUAGAGGAAGGAGAAGUCGUAACAAGGUUUCCGUAGGUGAACCUGCRGAAGGAUCA